Molecule: unclassified non-coding RNA, 201 nt
Filed under: Hevea brasiliensis (rubber tree)
Lineage: Eukaryota; Viridiplantae; Streptophyta; Magnoliopsida; Malpighiales; Euphorbiaceae
Source: RNAcentral
AAGACACUAAUUUUGAAUUCAUGAAAUCCUUUACAAAAUGACCUAAGUUGUAAAUGUUAUUCAUCCUACAUGAGUUGAUGAACAUAUAUGAGAUGUUAUUAUAUACUUAGGACUUAUGUUUCCCAUUACCAAUGAUAUGAAAAUGCUAUAAAACACAACUAGUACAUAAUAUGAACUAAUGAAACUAUAAAUACUUAAUAA